GGGCCUAUGGUGAAGCGGUAUCACGCAUCCAUGGCAUGGAUGAAGUCGGGGUUCGACUCCCCGUAGGUCCACAA
Molecule: transfer RNA, 74 nt
Filed under: Candidatus Kaiserbacteria bacterium RIFCSPLOWO2_01_FULL_55_19
Lineage: Bacteria; Candidatus Kaiseribacteriota
Description: tRNA-Ala
Rfam family: tRNA
About the family: Transfer RNA (tRNA) molecules are approximately 80 nucleotides in length. Their secondary structure includes four short double-helical elements and three loops (D, anti-codon, and T loops).
Source: RNAcentral